AUAAUCGGGGGAAACCCCGUCUAAUACCGCGUAACGACCCGGGGGGGCAUCCCUUCGGGUCCAAAGGUUUACCGGCUGCGGAUGGCCAUGCGUCGCAUUAGCUGGUUGGCGGGGUAACGGCCCACCAAGGCGACGAUGCGUAGGGGUUCUGAGAGGAAGGUCCCCCACACUGGUACUGAGACACGGACCAGACUCCUACGGAAGGCAGCAG
Molecule: ribosomal RNA, 211 nt
Filed under: uncultured bacterium
Lineage: Bacteria
Description: partial 16S ribosomal RNA
Rfam family: Bacterial small subunit ribosomal RNA
Source: RNAcentral